AGUGAACGCUGGCGGUAGGCCUAACACAUGCAAGUCGAACGGCAGCACAGUAAGAGCUUGCUCUUACGGGUGGCGAGUGGCGGACGGGUGAGGAAUACAUCGGAAUCUACUUUUUCGUGGGGGAUAACGUAGGGAAACUUACGCUAAUACCGCAUACGACCUACGGGUGAAAGCAGUGGAUCUUCGGACCUUGCGCGAUUGAAUGAGCCGAUGUCGGGUUAGCUAGUUGGCGGGGUAAAGGCCCACCAAGGCGACGAUCCGUAGCUGGUCUGAGAGGAUGAUCAGCCACACUGGAACUGAGACACGGUCCAGACUCCUACGGGAGGCAGCAGUGGGGAAUAUUGGACAAUGGGGGCAAGCCUGAUCCAGCAAUACCGCGUGGGUGAAGAAGGCCUUCGGGUUGUAAAGCCCUUUUGUUGGGAAAGAAAAGCAGCAGGUUAAUACCCCGCUGUUCUGACGGUACCCAAAGAAUAAGCACCGGCUAACUUCGUG
RNAcentral lists this ribosomal RNA (492 nucleotides) under uncultured bacterium. RNAcentral's name for it is "partial 16S ribosomal RNA". It matches the Rfam family "Bacterial small subunit ribosomal RNA", at positions 29 to 507 of the family's 1533-position model. The record is from RNAcentral.